AUGGUUGCUGCUCCAGAAGAGUAUAAAGUAUCAUUAGCUCAACUAUAUAUUGUGGAUGAAGCUGAUGUGUGGUUAAGAAGAUCUGGGCUGCUCAAGAAACAACUUUCCUGGAAACAAUUUGGGGCAGAAAUAGUGAAGAGGUUCUCAGAACAAGGAUCAUAUGAUCUAACCGAAAAAAUCACUUCUUUAAAACAAGCAAACAGCACAGUGUCUGCAUAUACAAAGCAAUUUGAGGACCUGAUGGCAGAAGUCAUGGAAGAAAACCCCGACUUAGGAGAAACUUGGUUCAUAAGGUGCUAUGUCAAUGGUCUCAGGGAUGGAAUUAAAUUUCAGUUGAGACCACUAGGACCUCAAUCCUUGACUGAUGCAUACUGUUUAGCUAAAGAAGUAGAACCCAAUCAUCCACCUAUCAGUGCAAUUCCCAAGAAAACAGCCAGUACAUUUGUCAAUUAUUAUCAGAAAAAUACUGGUGCUUUUCAAAACAAAACCAGCAGCAACAUUGUGCCUAUGCAACAGAAUACUCCAGCAAAACAAAUAGAGAAUAACUCCAACACAUUCACAAAACUGAGGAAAGUGGGAGAAUGCUGGAGAUGUGGAGACAAAUGGACACAUGGUCAUAAGUGCAAGUUAAUUCCCAAUGUUCACUUAUUACAACCAGAGAGUGUGGAGCAAGAAGUUUUGGAAGAAGAAGUGUUGCAGCAGGAGCAGGAAGAAAUUCCAGAAGAAGGUGACUAG
RNAcentral lists this ribosomal RNA (735 nucleotides) under Triticum aestivum (bread wheat). RNAcentral's name for it is "partial small subunit ribosomal RNA". Lineage: Eukaryota; Viridiplantae; Streptophyta; Magnoliopsida; Poales; Poaceae. The record is from RNAcentral.